AGAGUUUGAUCCUGGCUCAGGACGAACGCUGGCGGCGGGCCUAAUACAUGCAAGUCGAACGCAGUCGACCUUCGGGUCAUAUGACUGAGUGGCGAACGGGUGAGUAACACGUGAGAAACCUGCCCCGAAGACUGGAAUAACCCGAGGAAACUCGGGCUAAUACCGGAUGUCCCCAGAUGGCCGCAUGGCCGACUGAGGAAAUGCUCCGGCGCUUUGGGAGGGUCUCGCGGCCUAUCAGCUUGUUGGUGAGGUAACGGCUCACCAAGGCUUCGACGGGUAGCUGGUCUGAGAGGACGAUCAGCCACACUGGGACUGAGAUACGGCCCAGACUCCUACGGGAGGCAGCAGUAGGGAAUCUUGCGCAAUGGGCGAAAGCCUGACGCAGCCACGCCGCGUGAGUGAUGAAGGCCUUCGGGUCGUAAAGCUCUUUCAGCAGGGACGAAAAUGACGGUACCUGCAGAAGAAGCCCCGGCCAACUACGUGCCAGCAGCCGCGGUAACACGUAGGGGGCAAGCGUUGUCCGGAUUUAUUGGGCGUAAAGGGCUCGUAGGCUGUUCAGUAAGUCAGGUGUGAAAACUCGAGGCUCAACCUCGAGAUGCCACUUGAUACUGCUGUGACUAGAGUUCGGUAGAGGAGUGUGGAAUUCCUAGUGUAGCGGUGAAAUGCGCAGAUAUUAGGAGGAACACCAACAGCGAAGGCAGCACUCUGGGCCGAUACUGACGCUGAGGAGCGAAAGCGUGGGGAGCGAACAGGAUUAGAUACCCUGGUAGUCCACGCCGUAAACGGUGGGCACUAGAUGUGGGAUCCAGUCAACGGAUUCCGCGUCGUAGCUAACGCAUUAAGUGCCCCGCCUGGGGAGUACGGCCGCAAGGCUAAAACUCAAAGGAAUUGACGGGGGCCCGCACAAGCGGCGGAGCAUGUUGCUUAAUUCGAGGCAACGCGAAGAACCUUACCUGGGUUUGACAUGUAGGGAAAAGCCAUAGAGAUAUGGUGUCCUUAGGGGCC
This 1005-nucleotide ribosomal RNA is filed under the name marine metagenome. RNAcentral's name for it is "bacterial SSU rRNA". It matches the Rfam family "Bacterial small subunit ribosomal RNA", at positions 8 to 1028 of the family's 1533-position model. The record is from RNAcentral.